This 500-nucleotide ribosomal RNA is filed under the name uncultured bacterium. Its description in RNAcentral is "partial 16S ribosomal RNA". It matches the Rfam family "Bacterial small subunit ribosomal RNA", at positions 30 to 523 of the family's 1533-position model. The record is from RNAcentral.
AUUGAACGCUGGCGGAAUGCUUUACACAUGCAAGUCGAACGGCAGCACGGACUUCGGUCUGGUGGCGAGUGGCGAACGGGUGAGUAAUGUAUCGGAACGUGCCCAGUCGUGGGGGAUAACGUAGUGAAAAUUACGCUAAUACCGCAUACGAUCUCUGGAUGAAAGCGGGGGAUCGCAAGACCUCGCGCGAUUGGAGCGGCCGAUAUCAGAUUAGGUAGUUGGUGGGGUAAAGGCCCACCAAGCCAACGAUCUGUAGCUGGUCUGAGAGGACGACCAGCCACACUGGAACUGAGACACGGUCCAGACUCCUACGGGAGGCAGCAGUGGGGAAUUUUGGACAAUGGGCGAAAGCCUGAUCCAGCCACUCCGCGUGCAGGAUGAAGGCCCUCGGGUUGUAAACUGCUUUUGUACAGAACGAAAAGGUUUCUACUAAUACUAGGAGCUCAUGACGGUACUGUAAGAAUAAGCACCGGCUAACUACGUGCCAGCCGCCGCGGUAA